GUUGAUUUUUUUAAUUUAGCUUUUUUGUUUCUUUCCUACAGUUCCAGUCGCUAGGCAUGCAUCAACAAGAAACCUACAGGAGCCAUGGCAUGGGAAGCAUGAGGAUGAACUCUACGUGGAAAUCAAACAGAACGAACACCUAUCGGGCCGGCUCAUCAAUUUACCAACGUUCUUUAAGCCUUCGAUCGGCUGACCGCAUUGAAGACCAUAUCAACAGG
Molecule: non-coding RNA, 218 nt
Organism: Neolamprologus brichardi
Lineage: Eukaryota; Metazoa; Chordata; Actinopteri; Cichliformes; Cichlidae
Source: RefSeq, a predicted model, not a curated record